CAUUGGAUGGCUGAAAGAAAGUAUAGGCCUCUUAAGCCUGGUAAUAGUAGUAUCGUCUACUUUCAAUG
RNAcentral lists this transfer RNA (68 nucleotides) under Limnadia lenticularis. RNAcentral's name for it is "tRNA-Lys". Lineage: Eukaryota; Metazoa; Arthropoda; Branchiopoda; Diplostraca; Limnadiidae. The record is from RNAcentral.